GUAGGUGGCAAGCGUUGUCUGGAAUUAUUGGGCGUAAAGCGCGCGCAGGCGGUUCUUUAAGUCUGAUGUGAAGGCCCACGGCUCAACCGUGGAGGGUCAUUGGAAACUGGAGAACUUGAGUACAGAAGAGGAAAGCGGAAUUCCACGUGUAGCGGUGAAAUGCGUAGAGAUGUGGAGGAACACCAGUGGCGAAGGCGGCUUUCUGGUCUGUAACUGACGCUGAGGCGCGAAAGCGUGGGGGGAGCAAACAGGAUUAGAUACCCUGGUAGUCCACGCCGUAAACGAUGAGUGCUAAGUGUUAGGGGGUUUCCGCCCCCCCCUUAGUGCUGCAGCUAACGCAUUAAGCACUCCGCCUGGGGAGUACGGCCGCAAGGCUG
RNAcentral lists this ribosomal RNA (377 nucleotides) under uncultured organism. RNAcentral describes it as "partial 16S ribosomal RNA". It matches the Rfam family "Bacterial small subunit ribosomal RNA", at positions 527 to 896 of the family's 1533-position model. The record is from RNAcentral.